This 1065-nucleotide long non-coding RNA is filed under the name Fragaria vesca (wild strawberry). RNAcentral's name for it is "long non-coding RNA (FVES_LNC005108)". Lineage: Eukaryota; Viridiplantae; Streptophyta; Magnoliopsida; Rosales; Rosaceae. The record is from RNAcentral.
AAGAGUACAACGCACCUUUCACAUUUGAUAGUGACAUGUAUGUAUGUGCUAGACCUCCCCCCUGAAGUUCGCACCCCCCUGAUCUUUACAUCAAUCAUAGGGCUCUUCCUGAUUCUUACUAAUCACGGAAGUUUCAACAACUUAGCAUGUCAAUGCUUUUUAACAUGUUUUCAAAUGUGGCAUUGGGCAAUGAUUAACUAAAUCAUGCCGUAUUGUCCUCAAAUGAUCUUUUACACUUAGAUCUUGAGGAGAAGGUCGCUUGUGAACUCAAAACAUAAGUUCGUGUAGGAAAUCAGGUUUCCGCGCAGCAUGACCUUCAAUUACUAGAACAGUCGUAACUUCCUCUAGGAAAUACAUAUGAACGAACCGUAAACGGUUUUGGAAACUAGACUCAUUUAGCUUUCCAACCGUAUAUUACACACAUUCUGGUUCAUCAGGAGCUGUUCACAAAAUCCCGUCGAAGUUGACUGUUUUGCCAAAAUCAGAUUCUCGGACAGAUUCGUCCUACUUUACGGAAACGGCCAUAACUCACUCAAUAUGAUAGGUAUAAUCAAAUGGUUGGUGUCUCUGGAACGUAGACACAUAGACCUUUCCAAUGGUAUCAAUUUCACCAUUUUUCAGUGAGUGAGAUUUCCUAUAGGUCCCGUGGAAGUUGACCUAUAAAACUUGACAGAUUCUGAUUUCGCUUUUGAUGUGUCUUUCUUAUGUAGGGAUAGAAUAAGCCUCAACCUUUCAUACCAUUAAGUAUUGAAAAAGGAGUUACUGCCAUUACAUUGGCGUUGCAUGGGCGCAUAGCUACACUUAGCUUUACAACUUUUCAUAACGAAUGAGAUGUCAAGUCUUUCGUAUUGUGUUGAGUACAUUGAUGCGUCUAAUUGUCCUUUGAUGGGAACUCCAUCUCUUAACACAUAUUUGUCAUCUUGUUUUAGACAAAACAACGGAUCUCUCUUUAGAGCAAAGACCUUGACUAAUCAUGGGAGUAUAUGUAGGCCUCACUAGUUAUAGAGCGCCUAAGCCGAUUGAUGGAAAAUCAUCAUCAAUACAGUCAUCGAGUGCCUUAUCGAG